Non-coding RNA from Pezoporus flaviventris, 452 nucleotides. Lineage: Eukaryota; Metazoa; Chordata; Aves; Psittaciformes; Psittacidae. The record is from the annotation of a RefSeq genome assembly.
GGGAGGUCCGUGGUGCCGGCGCUGAGCCCCCAAUGGCCUCAAUGGCUCCUUCUUGUCCAUGCCCAGGUCUGCGGGCGGCCGUGACGCUGGAGGAGACCGGAGGCGGCCUCCAAAGCCCCGGGGGCUCCAUGAGGCUCCUCUGCAAGGCCUCGGGCUUCACCUUCGGCAGCUACGGCAUGGGAUGGAUGCGCCAAGCACCGGGGCAGGGGCUCGAGUUCGUCGCAAGCAUUAACAGUGGUGGUGGCACCACCAGAUACGGGGCAUCGGUGCAGGGCCGAGCCACCAUCACCAGGGACAACUCCCAGGGCACGGUCACGCUGCAGAUGAGCGGCCUCACGGCGCAGGACACGGCCACUUACUACUGCGUGAAGGGUAAUGAUGGUUAUGGUGAUGGUGAUGGUGGUGAUGGUGGUUAUGGUUAUGGUGGUGAUGGUUAUAGUGGUGAUGGUUAA